CCUACGGGUGGCAGCAGUGAGGAAUAUUGGUCAAUGGCCGUGAGGCUGAACCAGCCAAGUCGCGUGAAGGAAGAAGGAUCUGUGGUUUGUAAACUUCUUUUAUCGGGGAAUAAAGGUAUCCACGUGUGGAUAUUUGCAUGUACCCUAUGAAUAAGCAUCGGCUAACUCCGUGCCAGCAGCCGCGGUAAUACGGAGGAUGCGAGCGUUAUCCGGAUUUAUUGGGUUUAAAGGGUGCGUAGGUUGUUUUGUAAGUCAGCGGUGAAAGUUUGGGGCUCAACCAUAAGAUUGCCGUUGAAACUGGAAGACUUGAGUUUGUUUGAGGUAGGCGGAAUGCGUGGUGUAGCGGUGAAAUGCAUAGAUAUCACGCAGAACCCCGAUUGCGAAGGCAGCUUACUGGGCCAUAACUGACGCUGAGGCACGAAAGCGUGGGGAUCAAACAGGAUUAGAUACCCGUGUAGUC
This 460-nucleotide ribosomal RNA is filed under the name uncultured bacterium. RNAcentral describes it as "partial 16S ribosomal RNA". It matches the Rfam family "Bacterial small subunit ribosomal RNA", at positions 338 to 795 of the family's 1533-position model. The record is from RNAcentral.